This 1566-nucleotide long non-coding RNA is filed under the name Arabidopsis thaliana (thale cress). RNAcentral describes it as "potential natural antisense gene, locus overlaps with AT1G48320 (AT1G48315)". The record is from RNAcentral. Lineage: Eukaryota; Viridiplantae; Streptophyta; Magnoliopsida; Brassicales; Brassicaceae.
GAUUUUUCCGUACGAUUUCGGCUUUAACCAGCUUGAGCAUCCUAAUUACAAAAGUUCGCCGGAGUUGCUCAGAGAGACUCCGACUGCGACUGCGACGAAGGUAAUGUGAGAGUGUUGAAAGCGCGAGAUGGAGAUUGGGAGCUUCAAUUUCGUCUCUCUGGGCCUUCUCUCUUUCUUCUUCAUCAUCCUCCAGUGGUAAACUAUAUUGACGAAUUAGAGGAUUUUGUGGUGGUGGCCCUGCGAAUGCUACACCUGACAAACAUUCUAGCUCCUGCUACUUCUAGUGUCUGCAAAUACAAGAAGCUGUCUUAACAACUCCGAAGGAAGUACAUGAUUCUAAAGUUUCCAUCUUUAUUCCAUGACAAACAGAUCCCAAAGAAGAAUGCAUUUUUGCUAAUUAUCUUUGCAAGUUUUGGCUAGAUGAAAAAUUGUCCAUUCUUGAUCAAGGAGAGACAAAGUCAUUUUCCUGUUGAGGACAGUAGAGGAGUUUCUGUUGCAAGAAACAAGGUAACAUUCACAAAUCCAAGACAUUUUGUUAUCACUGUCUUAUCCACUUUAAGCUUAUUAUCAAUUUCGAGAAGAUGGGUCAUUACAUACAAUACAAGUAAAACAAAAAAGCCUGAAGAAAUCUACAACUUUGCGACCAUUUUGAGCAUGUUUGCUGCAUCUUUGGCGUUAUCAGGGAUAGGUAGAUUACAGAUAAGUGUAACUCUAGAGGAAGAUAUUAAGAUUUUGUUAGCUUUAUCUUUCUGUGUUGUUUUCCAUAACUUGACUUCCCAAACCUGAAUAGUCUUCCCUGUGCUUACAGGAGUUGCUUCGGCGAAGACAAGGUCUCCAAGAUCAGCACUCUUCAAAUGGUUGAUUGAGAGUUGAAUUCCAGCGACCCUUUUGAAACCAGAAGCCAUGUGAGCUCCCAUACUUGCUAAAGACUCGGCUAUCAAAGCAGAUACACCACCGUGUAACACCUUGAAAGGCUUUUUGAAAGGAAAUUGAAAAUCUUUAUCAGAAUUUGGGGUUAGAACAAAGGGCCAAUGAUCAAAUUGAAGAAGAAUGAAACCUGGCAGCAGACGGGAGAAACAGGAAGGCGACCUGUGAUACGUGUCGGAGAUAAUUCAUCGAACUCGAAACCCAACAUGUGAAGUGGAGGGUCUAUAGCUUUGGUGUUGGACGAUGCAGAAUCCAUUUUUGUGCUCUGUUGCAGAGAGAGAGAUGGAGGUAGGUAGGGUGGGUGUGUUAGAGAUGAUAAGAGAGUUUGAGAAAUGGAUUGAAUUGGUGGUAGUUGGGAUUAACGUCAAGUGGAAAUUUCGAUGAAAUGGGUUUUUUGCGUAGGUGCGUGAAAGACGUUUACUUGACUGAGACCUUUUAUGUCCAAAAACACUUUAUAAUUGGGCGUUGGUGAGAGUCUUUCGGACCAAAGUCAUAUAGUUUUGACACGUUGGAGACGUUAUUGUCAGUUUGGUUUAAUAGGCCGAAAGUGAAAGUUGAGCUCCUCUAAUGGGCUACCGUAAAGGCCCAUUAGUAAUAACUCUUUUUUUUUUUCCCAUUAUAGUGAACGGGUUAAUGAAG